UUGGAGGGCAAGUCUGGUGCCAGCAGCCGCGGUAAUUCCAGCUCCAAUAGCGUAUAUUAAAGUUGUUGCAGUUAAAAAGCUCGUAGUUGAAUUUCGGGGUCAAUAAGUUGGUCAUGCCAAUGGUAUGCACUGGCUUUAUUGAUUCCUACCUCUUGACGAACUGUGAUGCCAUUAAUUUGGUGUUGCAAGGAAUCAGGACUGUUACCUUGAAAAAAUUAGAGUGUUUAAAGCAAGCUUACGCUUGAAUACAUUAGCAUGGAAUAAUGAAAUAGGACGUUUGAUCCUAUUUUGUUGGUUUCUAGGAUCGACGUAAUGAUUAAUAGGGAUAGUUGGGGGCAUUAGUAUUCAAUUGUCAGAGGUGAAAUUCUUGGAUUUAUUGAAGACUAACUACUGCGAAAGCAUUUGCCAAGGAUGUUUUCAUUAAUCAAGAACGAAAGUUAGGGGAUCGAAGACGAUCAGAUACCGUCGUAGUCUUAACCAUAAACUAUGCCGACUAGGGAUCGGAUGAUGUUAAUUUUUUAAUGACUCAUUCGGCGCCUUACGGGAAAC
RNAcentral lists this ribosomal RNA (549 nucleotides) under uncultured Glomus. Its description in RNAcentral is "SSU rRNA". It matches the Rfam family "Eukaryotic small subunit ribosomal RNA", at positions 548 to 1098 of the family's 1831-position model. The record is from RNAcentral. Lineage: Eukaryota; Fungi; Glomeromycota; Glomeromycetes; Glomerales; Glomeraceae.